UACGUAGGGAGCAAGCGUUGUCCGGAAUUACUGGGUGUAAAGGGAGCGUAGGCGGAAUGGAAAGUUGAAUGUGAAAUUUAUCGGCUCAACCGGUAGCUGCGUUCAAAACUUCUGUUCUUGAGUGAAGUAGAGGCAGGCGGAAUUCCUAGUGUAGCGGUGAAAUGCGUAGAUAUUAGGAGGAACACCAGUGGCGAAGGCGGCCUGCUGGGCUUUAACUGACGCUGAGGCUCGAAAGCGUGGGGAGCAAACAGGAUUAGAUACCC
RNAcentral lists this ribosomal RNA (263 nucleotides) under uncultured bacterium. RNAcentral describes it as "partial 16S ribosomal RNA". It matches the Rfam family "Bacterial small subunit ribosomal RNA", at positions 524 to 787 of the family's 1533-position model. The record is from RNAcentral.